CAGUCGCCGCGGUAAUACAGAGGGUGCAAGCGUUAAUCGGAAUUACUGGGCGUAAAGCGCGCGUAGGUGGUUCGCCAAGUUGGAUGUGAAAUCCCCGGGCUCAACCUGGGAACCGCAUCCAAAACUGGCGAGCUAGAGUAUGGUAGAGGGUGGUGGAAUUUCCUGUGUAGCGGUGAAAUGCGUAGAUAUAGGAAGGAACAUCAGUGGCGAAGGCGACCACCUGGACUGAUACUGACACUGAGGUGCGAAAGCGUGGGGAGCAAACAGGAUUAGAUACCCCCGUAGUCCCUGUCUCUUAUAC
RNAcentral lists this ribosomal RNA (301 nucleotides) under uncultured bacterium. RNAcentral's name for it is "partial 16S ribosomal RNA". It matches the Rfam family "Bacterial small subunit ribosomal RNA", at positions 509 to 807 of the family's 1533-position model. The record is from RNAcentral.